GUUCCCAUCGUCUAGAGGCCUAGGACAUAUCCCUCUCACGGAUAGAACCGGGGUUCGAAUCCCCGUGGGAACGCCA
RNAcentral lists this transfer RNA (76 nucleotides) under Pseudomonadota bacterium. RNAcentral's name for it is "tRNA-Glu". It matches the Rfam family "tRNA". From Rfam's summary of the family: Transfer RNA (tRNA) molecules are approximately 80 nucleotides in length. The record is from RNAcentral. RNAcentral also lists the same sequence under 1 other name. Lineage: Bacteria; Pseudomonadati; Pseudomonadota.